AGAGUUUGAUCAUGGCUCAGAUUGAACGCUGGCGGCAGGCCUAACACAUGCAAGUCGAACGGUAACAGGAAGCAGCUUGCUGCUUUGCUGACGAGUGGCGGACGGGUGAGUAAUGUCUGGGAAACUGCCUGAUGGAGGGGGAUAACUACUGGAAACGGUGGCUAAUACCGCAUAACGUCGCAAGACCAAAGAGGGGGACCUUCGGGCCUCUUGCCAUCAGAUGUGCCCAGAUGGGAUUAGCUAGUUGGUGAGGUAACGGCUCACCAAGGCGACGAUCCCUAGCUGGUCUGAGAGGAUGACCAGCCACACUGGAACUGAGACACGGUCCAGACUCCUACGGGAGGCAGCAGUGGGGAAUAUUGCACAAUGGGCGCAAGCCUGAUGCAGCCAUGCCGCGUGUAUGAAGAAGGCCUUAGGGUUGUAAAGUACUUUCAGCGGGGAGGAAGGUGUUGCGGUUAAUAACCGCAGCAAUUGACGUUACCCGCAGAAGAAGCACCGGCUAACUCCGUGCCAGCAGCCGCGGUAAUACGGAGGGUGCAAGCGUUAAUCGGAAUUACUGGGCGUAAAGCGCACGCAGGCGGUCUGUCAAGUCGGAUGUGAAAUCCCCGGGCUCAACCUGGGAACUGCAUUCGAAACUGGCAGGCUUGAGUCUUGUAGAGGGGGGUAGAAUUCCAGGUGUAGCGGUGAAAUGCGUAGAGAUCUGGAGGAAUACCGGUGGCGAAGGCGGCCCCCUGGACAAAGACUGACGCUCAGGUGCGAAAGCGUGGGGAGCAAACAGGAUUAGAUACCCUGGUAGUCCACGCCGUAAACGAUGUCUACUUGGAGGUUGUGCCCUUGAGGCGUGGCUUCCGGAGCUAACGCGUUAAGUAGACCGCCUGGGGAGUACGGCCGCAAGGUUAAAACUCAAAUGAAUUGACGGGGGCCCGCACAAGCGGUGGAGCAUGUGGUUUAAUUCGAUGCAACGCGAAGAACCUUACCUGGUCUUGACAUCCACAGAACUUUCCAGAGAUGGAUUGGUGCCUUCGGGAACUGUGAGACAGGUGCUGCAUGGCUGUCGUCAGCUCGUGUUGUGAAAUGUUGGGUUAAGUCCCGCAACGAGCGCAACCCUUAUCCUUUGUUGCCAGCGAUUAGGUCGGGAACUCAAAGGAGACUGCCAGUGAUAAACUGGAGGAAGGUGGGGAUGACGUCAAGUCAUCAUGGCCCUUACGACCAGGGCUACACACGUGCUACAAUGGCGCAUACAAAGAGAAGCGACCUCGCGAGAGCAAGCGGACCUCAUAAAGUGCGUCGUAGUCCGGAUUGGAGUCUGCAACUCGACUCCAUGAAGUCGGAAUCGCUAGUAAUCGUGGAUCAGAAUGCCACGGUGAAUACGUUCCCGGGCCUUGUACACACCGCCCGUCACACCAUGGGAGUGGGUUGCAAAAGAAGUAGGUAGCUUAACCUUCGGGAGGGCGCUUACCACUUUGUGAUUCAUGACUGGGGUGAAGUCGUAACAAGGUAACCGUAGGGGAACCUGCGGUUGGAUCACCU
RNAcentral lists this ribosomal RNA (1530 nucleotides) under Salmonella enterica subsp. enterica serovar Thompson. RNAcentral describes it as "bacterial SSU rRNA". It matches the Rfam family "Bacterial small subunit ribosomal RNA". RNAcentral also lists the same sequence under 1 other name. The record is from RNAcentral. Lineage: Bacteria; Pseudomonadati; Pseudomonadota; Gammaproteobacteria; Enterobacterales; Enterobacteriaceae.